Homo sapiens (human) is the source of this 810-nucleotide long non-coding RNA. Lineage: Eukaryota; Metazoa; Chordata; Mammalia; Primates; Hominidae. The record is from Ensembl.
CUUCAUGACCACUGAGUCAGCAGCAACUCUUUUCUUGCCAAGAAUAGCACAUUGUUCUUUUCCUUUUCAGGUAAUCCCUCCCCGGAAAGAGAAGAUCACAGAUUUUGUCAUAUUAAAUACAUUGUAGAAAUUCAUGGUAGCAGGGGCAAGAUCAUUUAAACAAAACAGAAAGUUUCAGAGAGAGAAAAAGCCAAGGACAAAGAUUAAUCAUUUUUCUGCUUAAAAAAAAUGGCUUUGAUUUGCAACCAUGGAAUGCUCCACUGUUUCUCUUCUCUUCAAAGACAUCUACUGAAAGGAUUCCUUAACCUUACCAAGUGGCCAAAAUACUUUUCUGAGAAGAGUCACAGAGCAUAGGCCCCCCUAGGGUACACAGAGAUUUCAUUAGUCCCUAGAUGUUUCCUGAUCCUUUUAAAAACUGGUUAAAUUCAGAGACUCUAGGCAAUUACUUCUUUCAGAACCUGUGAGGCAAAAACGAAAGAAGAAGGCAGGACACGCAGUGUAACAAACCUUGGAAUGGACUUCGCCAGACUUCAUCAGAAGAAAGCAGUGCAAGAGGGGACUGCAGAGGAAAGCUGGGGCUUGGGAAACCAGCAGCAGGGGCCACGUGGGCAGGUGGUUUCUGUGUGAACCUCUGAUCUGUGCAACAUAAACAGGAAAUGUUGAAGGCUUCCAGUGCUCUUUUUUGAUGUCGAGAACAUUCUACGGCACAAAAGAGUUUGCCUCUCACUGUUUCUCAUAUAUGGAGGUUUUCUAAUCAGCAUCCUGAACAGAAUUGAAUUAAAAAUAAAAACCAAAGUAAAACUAGCUUUA